UCUGUAUAAGCCAAGACCUCAAUUAUGUAGUAUGUACUACAAUCACAUGACAACAUAUUCAAAAACGUAUUCAUACAAUAGUAAUAAUAAGAACACUUCCUACUACAUCUCCACAUGGAUGCAAAGUUAUUUACAAACAACAAAGGAGCAACAUCAUCCAAAACAAAACAUAAAACAAAAGAAAAACAUAAUAUAACUCAUAAAAACAUUCUACUAUUAUACAACACAAAAGCAAAGUUAAAUUAUAAAUAUGCUUCAAUAAAAGUAGUUAUUUUUUCUGAAUUGUAUCUAUCAAAAACAGUUUUUCUAGUUCCGUAGAUAAAGCAGAGGUAAGGUAUACAUACACGUCCUUUCUCUGACACAACUCCUGGGAUUACACUUGAUUGUUACUGUUGCUUCAAUCAAAGUAGUGAUGAAAAAACUUGCGAAUACUUCUCAUGAACCCACCUCU
Molecule: long non-coding RNA, 451 nt
Filed under: Nicotiana tabacum (common tobacco)
Lineage: Eukaryota; Viridiplantae; Streptophyta; Magnoliopsida; Solanales; Solanaceae
Description: long non-coding RNA (NTAB_LNC013754)
Source: RNAcentral